UACAUUAGAUACCCGUGUAGUCCCAGCCGUAAACUAUGCUCGCUAGGUGUCAGGCAUGGCGCGACCGUGUCUGGUGCCGCAGGGAAGCCGUGAAGCGAGCCACCUGGGAAGUACGGCCGCAAGGCCGAAACUUAAAGGAAUUGGCGGGGGAGCACAACAACGGGUGGAGCCUGCGGUUUAAUUGGACUCAACGCCGGACAACUCACCGGGGACGACAGCAAUAUGUAGGCCAGGCUGAAGACCUUGCCUGAAUCGCUG
This 258-nucleotide ribosomal RNA is filed under the name uncultured archaeon. RNAcentral describes it as "partial 16S ribosomal RNA". It matches the Rfam family "Archaeal small subunit ribosomal RNA", at positions 725 to 982 of the family's 1478-position model. The record is from RNAcentral.